GUCCGAAUAGGGCGACAGUCGCUGGGUGUAGACCCGAAACCAGGUGAUCUACCCAUGGCCAGGAUGAAGGUGCGGUAACACGCCCUGGAGGUCCGAACCCACUAAUGUUGAAAAAUUAGGGGAUGAGCUGUGGGUAGGGGUGAAAGGCUAAACAAACUUGGAAAUAGCUGGUUCUCCGCGAAAGAUAUUUAGGUAUCGCCUCGAGCGAAUACUCUGGGGGGUAGAGCACUGGAUGGGCUAUGGGGACUCACCGUCUUACUGAUCCUAACCAAACUCCGAAUACCGAGGAGCACUAUCUGGCAGACAGACGGCGGGUGCUAACGUCCGUCGUCGAGAGGGAAACAACCCUGACCUCCAGCUAAGGUCCCCAAGUCACGGCUAAGUGGGAAAGCAGGUGGGACGGCCAAAACAACCAGGAGGUUGGCUUAGAAGCAGCCAUCCUUUAAAGAUAGCGUAACAGCUCACUGGUCUAGAUAAGCUGUCCUGCGGCGAAGAUGUAACGGGGCUCAAGCCGUGCACCGAAGCUGAGGAUGCGUAGCGAUACGCGUGGUAGCAGAGCGUGGCG
Molecule: ribosomal RNA, 565 nt
Filed under: Crypthecodinium cohnii
Lineage: Eukaryota; Dinophyceae; Gonyaulacales; Crypthecodiniaceae
Description: partial Bacterial large subunit ribosomal RNA
Rfam family: Bacterial large subunit ribosomal RNA
Source: RNAcentral